Molecule: ribosomal RNA, 497 nt
Filed under: uncultured bacterium
Lineage: Bacteria
Description: partial 16S ribosomal RNA
Rfam family: Bacterial small subunit ribosomal RNA
Source: RNAcentral
GAUGAACGCUGGCGGCGUGCCUAAUGCAUGCAAGUCGAGCGAACGGACGAGAAGCUUGCUUCUCUGAUGUUAGCGGCGGACGGGUGAGUAACACGUGGAUAACCUACCUAUAAGACUGGGAUAACUUCGGGAAACCGGAGCUAAUACCGGAUAAUAUUUUGAACCGCAUGGUUCAAAAGUGAAAGACGGUCUUGCUGUCACUUAUAGAUGGAUCCGCGCUGCAUUAGCUAGUUGGUAAGGUAACGGCUUACCAAGGCAACGAUGCAUAGCCGACCUGAGAGGGUGAUCGGCCACACUGGAACUGAGACACGGUCCAGACUCCUACGAGAGGCAGCAGUAGGGAAUCUUCCGCAAUGGGCGAAAGCCUGACGGAGCAACGCCGCGUGAGUGAUGAAGGUCUUCGGAUCGUAAAACUCUGUUAUUAGGGAAGAACAUAUGUGUAAGUAACUGUGCACAUCUUGACGGUACCUAAUCAGAAAGCCACGGCUAACUACGUG